CCUACGGGAGGCAGCAGUGGGGAAUUUUGGACAAUGGGCGAAAGCCUGAUCCAGCCAUGCCGCGUGAGUGAAGAAGGCCUUCGGGUUGUAAAGCUCUUUUAGUCGGAAAGAAAGAGUUGCAAUGAAUAAUUGUGAUUUAUGACGGUACCGACAGAAGAAGCACCGGCUAACUACGUGCCAGCAGCCGCGGUAAUACGUAGGGUGCGAGCGUUAAUCGGAAUUACUGGGCGUAAAGGGUGCGCAGCCGGUCUUGCAAGUCAGAUGUGAAAGCCCCGGGCUUAACCUGGGAAUUGCGUUUGAAACUACAAGGCUAGAGUGCAGCAGAGGGGAGUGGAAUUCCAUGUGUAGCAGUGAAAUGCGUAGAGAUGUGGAAGAACACCAAUGGCGAAGGCAGCUCCCUGGGUUGACACUGACGCUCAUGCACGAAAGCGUGGGGAGCAAACAGGAUUAGAUACCCUGGUAGUCCACGCCCUAAACGAUGUCAACUAGUUGUCGGAUCCAAUUAAGGAUUUGGGUAACGUAGCUAACGCGUGAAGUUGACCGCCUGGGGAGUACGGUCGCAAGAUUAAAACUCAAAGGAA
This 581-nucleotide ribosomal RNA is filed under the name uncultured beta proteobacterium. Its description in RNAcentral is "bacterial SSU rRNA". It matches the Rfam family "Bacterial small subunit ribosomal RNA", at positions 338 to 909 of the family's 1533-position model. The record is from RNAcentral. Lineage: Bacteria; Pseudomonadati; Pseudomonadota; Betaproteobacteria.